This 150-nucleotide microRNA precursor is filed under the name Oryza meridionalis. RNAcentral's name for it is "MIR812 microRNA precursor family". It matches the Rfam family "MIR812 microRNA precursor family", at positions 27 to 191 of the family's 205-position model. The record is from Rfam by way of RNAcentral. Lineage: Eukaryota; Viridiplantae; Streptophyta; Magnoliopsida; Poales; Poaceae.
UACAACAUUUGACUCUUCGUCUUAUUUAAAAUUCUUCUAUCAUUAAUAUUAUUAUUAUUAUGAAAAGGAUUUUAUGCGUGACUAAUAUUUUUAAUUUUUUUAUAAUUUUUUUAAAUAAGACGGGCGGUAAACGUUGGACACAGAAACCCA